UACGGAGGGUGCAAACGUUGCUCGGAAUCAUUGGGCGUAAAGCGCACGUAGGCGGCCUGUUAAGUCGGGUGUGAAAUCCCUGGGCUCAACCCAGGAAGUGCACUCGAAACUGGCAGGCUUGAGUACUGAAGAGGGUCGCGGAAUUCCCGGUGUAGAGGUGAAAUUCAUAGAUAUCGGGAGGAACACCAGUGGCGAAGGCGGCGACCUGGGCAGAUACUGACGCUGAGGUGCGAAAGCGUGGGGAGCAAACAGG
Molecule: ribosomal RNA, 253 nt
Filed under: uncultured bacterium
Lineage: Bacteria
Description: partial 16S ribosomal RNA
Rfam family: Bacterial small subunit ribosomal RNA
Source: RNAcentral